Molecule: long non-coding RNA, 449 nt
Filed under: Sparus aurata (gilthead seabream)
Lineage: Eukaryota; Metazoa; Chordata; Actinopteri; Spariformes; Sparidae
Description: lncRNA (ENSSAUG00010002141.1)
Source: RNAcentral
GAGUUGCUCCUGAAGUGUUUUGUGUUUUCAGCUCAGUUGGAUCAACUCUCCUCCGUUGAGUCCAGACUGACAGACGGACUGAACAGCACCACAGGUUCAGAUUGAUUCCCUUCACAGUUUGUACAACACACUUGAUGAUGAUUAUUGAUAAAUCUGAUAGUUACUGUUUCCUGUUCAGCUCUGCAGCUCCGACUGAGCAUCUGUGAGAAACAGCUGGAACACCUGGAGACAGAGAACACAGGUUUUGGCCUCAGGCUGAAUCAGACUGACGAUCGUCUGCAGGAGCUCACAGACACAAACUCAGGUUUGGACUUUAAGACUUCGGUGCAACUCAAGAAAGAAAUCUGUCAACAUUUAUUUUCAGUCGUGAGAUUGGUUUGUUUUAUUGUUCGAACAUCUGCCGACGAAAAAAUCUUCAUCCUCCUGUUUUUCAAUGCUUAUUGUACGGA